This 244-nucleotide long non-coding RNA is filed under the name Lathyrus oleraceus (garden pea). Its description in RNAcentral is "Pisum sativum (pea) long non-coding RNA (PSAT_LNC020673)". Lineage: Eukaryota; Viridiplantae; Streptophyta; Magnoliopsida; Fabales; Fabaceae. The record is from RNAcentral.
UUCCAACCCGGAUUGUACGUGUUGGAAUAAGGAUUAUUCUGCUUCACGAUUUCCUUCACUUGUUUAGGAGGUGCAAAACAAUAAACAGUUUGGUGCAGACCACUACAAAUUUCACAGUAGACAGUAGGAAUCGGUUAGACCUGCGCCACCUGUUGGGUACCUAUAUUCAUCGUCUUCAGCUUCUUAUCAACUUCAACAGCUAUAGUAUCUUCAAUACGGAUUUUAUUAGUUUCCAGCUUUAAAU